Molecule: ribosomal RNA, 492 nt
Filed under: uncultured Pseudomonadota bacterium
Lineage: Bacteria; Pseudomonadati; Pseudomonadota
Description: bacterial SSU rRNA
Rfam family: Bacterial small subunit ribosomal RNA
Source: RNAcentral
UGGGGAAUAUUGGACAAUGGGCGCAAGCCUGAUCCAGCAAUGCCGCGUGAGUGAUGAAGGCCUUAGGGUUGUAAAGCUCUUUCGCCCGCGACGAUGAUGACGGUAGCGGGAGAAGAAGCCCCGGCUAACUCCGUGCCAGCAGCCGCGGUAAUACGGAGGGGGCUAGCGUUGUUCGGAAUUACUGGGCGUAAAGGGCGCGCAGGCGGCUGCUCAAGUCAGGCGUGAAAGGCCUGGGCUCAACCCGGGAAUUGCGCUUGAGACUGGGCUGGCUUGAGUGCGGGAGAGGAUGGUGGAAUUCCCAGUGUAGAGGUGAAAUUCGUAGAUAUUGGGAAGAACACCGGUGGCGAAGGCGGCCAUCUGGACCGCAACUGACGCUGAGGCGCGAAAGCGUGGGGAGCAAACUGGAUUAGAUACCCUGGUAGUCCACGCCGUAAACGAUGAGUGCUAGACGUUGGGAAGCCUAGCUUUCCGGUGUCGCAGCUAACGCAUUAA